CAUGAACGAAAAUGCAAUUCAUGGGGCUCCGAAGAAAGAUUGAGAAUGGAGAAUUGCAUUAAGCAAUCACUACGCAUGGCUCCAACUCGUGGUUGGAGGACGCAUGAACGAAAACGCAAUUCAUGGGGCUCCGAAAAAGGGUUGAGAAUGGAGAAUUGCACUAAGCAAUCACUACGCAUGGCUCCAAACUCGUGGGUGGAGGACGCAUGAACGAAAAUGCAAUUCAUGGGGCUCCGAAGAAAGAUUGAGAAUGGAGAAUUGCACUAAGCAAUUACUACGCAUGGCUCCAAAUUCGUGGGUGGAGGACGCAUGAACGAAAACGCAAUUCAUGGGGCUCCGAAAAAAGAUUGAGAAUGGAGAAUUGCACUAAGCAAUCACUACGCAUGGCUCCAAACUCGUGGGUGGAGGACGCAUGAACGAAAACGCAAUUCAUGGGGCUCCGAAAGAAGAUUGAGAAUGGAGAAUUGCACUAAGCUACC
Molecule: long non-coding RNA, 479 nt
Filed under: Glycine max (soybean)
Lineage: Eukaryota; Viridiplantae; Streptophyta; Magnoliopsida; Fabales; Fabaceae
Description: long non-coding RNA (GMAX_LNC004735)
Source: RNAcentral